This 705-nucleotide long non-coding RNA is filed under the name Gadus morhua (Atlantic cod). RNAcentral's name for it is "lncRNA (ENSGMOG00000024956.1)". The record is from RNAcentral. Lineage: Eukaryota; Metazoa; Chordata; Actinopteri; Gadiformes; Gadidae.
GUGGGAGAUUAACAGCGGUGCUGAAUAAAUAGGGCACAGGUUUCACGAGAGGCACUCGCCUAUCUUGCUGGGACCACUCGUGGGGAUUUCUUGUCUCUUGUCCCUCCUGCACCGUGUUGCAGAACGUUACAGGGUCUGUGGCGUUUCGUGGGGUUGCUGUUCGGUUCCCCUUGCCUGUGCGGCCCAAUAUCCCAGCUGUCGUGAGCUUCUCUCCUCGUCUUCCUGGCCUGCUCGUCCAAUCUCUGCUAGCUGUCAAGUUGGACUACUUGCUCGAGGCUUCUGCUCGGGGUGCCUGCGUGUGUAUUUGAAUGCUAGUGCAUGUCGUGGUGUUUGGGUGCUUCUCGUUGUUUUGUCGUUUUGUUUGUAUGUUUGUAUGCUAGAAUAAGCGUUGGUGGCUCUGUCGCUUGCUGGCUUCCUCCCCUGCUUGUGGCUAAAUGUAUCCCGCUCUAGUUGUGUAAUUCCCUUUUUUUUUUUAAUGCGUGUGCAGUGUUAUUUUCAUAGUUUGGUUAAGUUUAUAUCUUGUGAUUUGCAGUGAAAAAAGCAUGUUUUGUUUUUGUACAGGGAUUUUUCACCAAGGAAGUAGGGCAUUCGUCGGGGUAAGCAAGGUAGCUUGAAUAGGAAGUCACCUUGCAUACUUGUGGAUCCAUGAAUUGCUAUACUCUGUGUAUUUGAAGGUAGACAAAUAAAUUAUCUUUUGUAUCAGAU